AGUGAACGCUGGCGGUAGGCCUAACACAUGCAAGUCGAACGGCAGCACAGUAAGAGCUUGCUCUUACGGGUGGCGAGUGGCGGACGGGUGGGGAAUACAUCGGAAUCUACUUUUUCGUGGGGGAUAACGUAGGGAAACUUACGCUAAUACCGCAUACGACCUACGGGUGAAAGCAGGGGAUCUUCGGACCUUGCGCGAUUGAAUGAGCCGAUGUCGGAUUAGCUAGUUGGCGGGGUAAAGGCCCACCAAGACGACGAUCCGUAGCUGGUCUGAGAGGAUGAUCAGCCACACUGGAACUGAGACACGGUCCAGACUCCUACGGGAGGCAGCAGUGGGGAAUAUUGGACAAUGGGCGCAAGCCUGAUCCAGCCAUACCGCGUGGGUGAAGAAGGCCUUCGGGUUGUAAAGCCCUUUUGUUGGGAAAGAAAAGCAGCAGGUUAAUACCCCGCUGUUCUGACGGUACCCAAAGAAUAAGCACCGGCUAACUUCGUG
RNAcentral lists this ribosomal RNA (492 nucleotides) under uncultured bacterium. RNAcentral describes it as "partial 16S ribosomal RNA". It matches the Rfam family "Bacterial small subunit ribosomal RNA", at positions 29 to 507 of the family's 1533-position model. The record is from RNAcentral.